RNAcentral lists this ribosomal RNA (459 nucleotides) under uncultured bacterium. RNAcentral's name for it is "partial 16S ribosomal RNA". It matches the Rfam family "Bacterial small subunit ribosomal RNA", at positions 338 to 795 of the family's 1533-position model. The record is from RNAcentral.
CCUACGGGAGGCAGCAGUGAGGAAUAUUGGUCAAUGGGCGAGAGCCUGAACCAGCCAAGUCGCGUGAGGGAAGACGGUCCUAUGGAUUGUAAACCUCUUUUGCCGGGGAGCAAAAAGCGGUACGUGUACCGCAUCGAGAGUACCCGGAGAAAAAGCAUCGGCUAACUCCGUGCCAGCAGCCGCGGUAAUACGGAGGAUGCGAGCGUUAUCCGGAUUUAGUGGGUUGAAAGGGUGCGCAGGCGGCGAGUUAAGUCAGCGGUAAAAUUUCGGGGCUCAACCCCGGCGAGCAGUUGAAACUGGCUUGCUAGAGAGUAGGAGCGGUAGGCGGAAUGUAUGGUGUAGCGGUGAAAUGCGUAGAGAUCAUACAGAACACCGAUGGCGAAGGCAGCUUACCAGGCUACUUCUGACGUUGAGGCACGAAAGCGUGGGGAGCAAACAGGAUUAGAUACCCUAGUAGUC